RNAcentral lists this ribosomal RNA (450 nucleotides) under uncultured bacterium. RNAcentral describes it as "partial 16S ribosomal RNA". It matches the Rfam family "Bacterial small subunit ribosomal RNA", at positions 354 to 796 of the family's 1533-position model. The record is from RNAcentral.
GUGGGGAAUAUUCCGCAAUAGACGAAAGUCUGACGGAGCAACGCCGCGUGAGUGAUGAAGGUUUUCGGACUGUAAAGCUCUGUUGUUUAGGACGAAAGUGCCUGUUGCAAAUAGUUACAGGUAUUGACGGUACUGAACGAGGAAGCCACGGCUAACUACGUGCCAGCAGCCGCGGUAAUACGUAGGUGGCAAGCGUUGUCCGGAAUUAUUGGGCGUAAAGAGCAUGUAGGCGGGAAUCUAAGUCUGUUGUGAAAAUGCGGGGCUCAACCCCGUAUUGCGAUGGAAACUGGGUUUCUUGAGUGCAGGAGAGGAAAGGGGAAUUCCCAGUGUAGCGGUGAAAUGCGUAGAUAUUGGGAGGAACACCAGUGGCGAAGGCGCCUUUCUGGACUGUGUCUGACGCUGAGAUGCGAAAGCCAGGGUAGCGAACGGGAUUAGAUACCCCUGUAGUCC